This 338-nucleotide unclassified non-coding RNA is filed under the name Hevea brasiliensis (rubber tree). The record is from RNAcentral. Lineage: Eukaryota; Viridiplantae; Streptophyta; Magnoliopsida; Malpighiales; Euphorbiaceae.
AUGCUAAUAAAAGCAGGGAUAGGGAUACAAGAUAAUAGCACAUAUAAAUACAUCAAAAUGGCAAUUGUCAAAAAAUUGGGAUAAAAAAUAAGGAUAAGGAACAGUGAGUAUACCAGAUAGCUACUAUCUCAUAUUCUUUUGUGAAUGUGAGUAUUUUCUUGUACAACUUCUUUGUUUAAAAAAUUUUGGUAAAAUUAAGAAGUGUUAAAGAAAUAAAAUAUAGAACAUGAUGGCUAAUGAAGAUGAAAGGAUAAAUUCUUUCUCUUAUUUGUUUGUUGCUUAUAUGUUAUAUUGGCCUCAAAGCACGGCUUGUAUUUAGUUUCCUUAUUGCAUCAGGG